GGUGGCUCAGUGGUAGAGUGCUUGCCUCGCAUGCAUGAGGCUCUGGGUUCAAUUCCUCAGCACCA
Dipodomys ordii (Ord's kangaroo rat) is the source of this 65-nucleotide non-coding RNA. The record is from Rfam. NCBI's taxonomy places the organism in Eukaryota, Metazoa, Chordata, Mammalia, Rodentia, Heteromyidae.